Molecule: ribosomal RNA, 1314 nt
Filed under: uncultured Alphaproteobacteria bacterium
Lineage: Bacteria; Pseudomonadati; Pseudomonadota; Alphaproteobacteria
Description: uncultured alpha proteobacterium 16S ribosomal RNA
Rfam family: Bacterial small subunit ribosomal RNA
Source: RNAcentral
ACGCUGGCGGCACGCCUAACACAUGCAAGUCGAACGAAGUAGCAAUACUUAGUGGCAGACGGGUGAGUAACAUGUGGGUAUCUGCCCUUUGGCCUGGAAUAACACGAGGAAACUUGUGCUAAUACCGGAUAAGUCUUUACGGAGAAAGCUUUAUGCACCAUUGGAUGAGCCUGCACUUGAUUAGUUUGUUGGUGGGGUAAUGGCCUACCAAGACUGUGAUCAAUAGCUGAUUUGAGAGGAUGAUCAGCCACAUUGGGACUGAGACACGGCCCAAACUCCUACGGGAGGCAGCAGUGGGGAAUCUUGCACAAUGGAGGAAACUCUGAUGCAGCGAUGCCGCGUGAGUGAAGAAGGCCCUUGGGUUGUAAAGCUCUUUCGUCGGGGAAGAAAAUGACUGUACCCGAAUAAGAAGGUCCGGCUAACUUCGUGCCAGCAGCCGCGGUAAUACGAAGGGACCUAGCGUAGUUCGGAAUUACUGGGCUUAAAGAGUUCGUAGGUGGUUGAAAAAGUUAGUGGUGAAAUCCCAGAGCUUAACUCUGGAACUGCCAUUAAAACUUUUCAGCUGGAGUAUGAUAGAGGAAAGCAGAAUUUCUAGUGUAGAGGUGAAAUUCGUAGAUAUUAGAAAGAAUACCAAUUGCGAAGGCAGCUUUCUGGAUCAUUACUGACACUGAGGAACGAAAGCAUGGGUAGCGAAGAGGAUUAGAUACCCUCGUAGUCCAUGCCGUAAACGAUGUGUGUUAGACGUUGGAAAUUUAUUUUCAGUGUCGCAGGGAAACCGAUAAACACACCGCCUGGGGAGUACGACCGCAAGGUUAAAACUCAAAUGAAUUGACGGGGACCCGCACAAGUAGUGGAGCAUGUGGUUUAAUUCGAAGAUACGCGCAGAACCUUACCAACACUUGACAUGUUCGUCGCGACUCUAAGAGAUUAGAGUUUUCGGUUCGGCCGGACGAAACACAGGUGCUGCAUGGCUGUCGUCAGCUCGUGUCGUGAGAUGUUGGGUUAAGUCCCGCAACGAGCGCAACCCUCACUUUUAGUUGCCAUCAUUAAGUUGGGCACUCUGAAAGAACUGCCAGUGAUAAGCUGGAGGAAGGUGGGGAUGACGUCAAGUCCUCAUGGCCCUUACGUGUUGGGCUACACACGUGCUACAAUGGUAUCUACAACAGGAAGCAAGACUGCGAAGUUAAGCAAAUCCCUAAAAGAUACCUCAGUUCGGAUUGCACUCUGCAACUCGAGUGCAUGAAGCUGGAAUUACUAGUAAUCGUGGAUCAGCGUGCCACGGUGAAUGCGUUCCCGGGUCUUGUACACACCGCC